RNA transcript from Misgurnus anguillicaudatus (oriental weatherfish), 3498 nucleotides. It is a transcript of the gene named neurexophilin-1, with no coding region annotated. NCBI's taxonomy places the organism in Eukaryota, Metazoa, Chordata, Actinopteri, Cypriniformes, Cobitidae. The record is from RefSeq and is a predicted model, not a curated record.
GACAUGGGACCGGGUCUCGGCUGUUUUGGAUACGGUACCGGAGGAACAGCGUCUUCUUGAACGGAGAGUCUGUAGGAGACCGACGAGAUGCGCUCCGACCACGGCUUCAUUCUGCUGCUCCUCAACGGGACAGUGUGCUUGCUGGCUCUAGGACAGAAAGAUACCCACUCCUCCUCCUCUUCCUUUCCCUCAUCUGCAUCAAAGUCCUCCCCCCCUUCAGACUCCUCCAAAACUCUAGGGGUUCUGGGAUCUCCAGGCUCUAUUUCCCCUUUGAGCCGCUGGGUAAUGCACAGCCGUGGCCGUGCUGCCAACACUUCAACGAUGGAGUUGCCCUACCGCUCACCCGUUCCCUUCUCCAAACAGGAAUUCUGGGAAAUGUUGGGUAGUGACCUCCUCAAAUCGGACACAGACGCCCUGGGGACUUCCCGCGUCAAGCGUCGCCCUCCCAUCGUCAAAACAGGCAAAUUUAAGAAGAUGUUCGGCUGGGGUGACUUCUACUCCAACAUCAAGACGGUGCGCCUCAAUCUGCUCAUCACGGGUAAGAUUGUGGAUCACGGAAACGGAACGUUCAGCGUCUACUUCCGUCACAACUCCACCGGCCAGGGGAACAUCUCCGUCAGCCUGGUGCCUCCGGUGAAGGCGGUGGAGUUUGACUUAGAGCGCCAGAGCGUGGUCUACCCCAAAGACUCCAAGAUCUUCAACUGCCGCGUAGACUACGAGAAGGUGGACCGCAGCAAACGCACCUCGCUCUGCAACUACGACCCCUCCAAAACCUGCUUCCAGGAGCAGACACAAAGCCACGUGUCCUGGAUCUGCUCCAAACCCUUUAAGGUCAUUUGCAUCUACAUUUCGUUCUACAGCACAGACUACCGGUUGGUGCAGAAGGUCUGUCCAGAUUAUAACUACCACAACGAAAUGCCCUACCUACCCUCUGGUUAGUGCUUAGGUGGCGUUAAACCAGAGGGGUGAUGAGGGCUGGUCAAGGGGUAUAGAAAGAGUUUAAUAAUGGACAAAGGAACAUGAAUAUAAAUGCAAAGAUCUCUUGGGGAUAUAUAUAUCGAAAAGACUCUAAAGGGACAUUGAGCUGACAUGGGAAUGCCCCAUUAUGACCCGAACCUUUUUCUGUGGCCUUCACAGGUGGUUCCACAAAGGUGAAUGUACAGUAUUUGAUGUGCUGCAGUUGUUGUCUUGAAGAACCUCUUGAACAACCUGGCAAAUGUGACCUGCAAAACAUAUAUGCAAAACCAAAUUGUCAGGCCCAGGUGAACAGUCUUUGCUGCUCAGGGUGGGAGGGGCCUGUCUGUCGGAAUGACUCCCUGAUUGGCUGCCCUCAUCAGUGCUCAGUGUCACAGUCAUCUAAUAAAUGCCUGCAAACAAUAAAACACACUGACUACUAUGCAGAGUUUUCUUAUCCUCUGAAACAUACACCGCAAGCACUCUGUUCACAAAAACGACAUGAAUACCACCCUCGCCCCUCGCCUUAUCAUCAAAACAUUAAGUGUUCCCCUGGCGCUCUACAACAGGAGUUUGCUGAUUAGUGUGCGUCUAUGAUAAACUGCUGAGCACAACAGGGUUGAACGACUUAACAGUUGUAGCAGUACCAUACCGCAAGCAACUUAACCACAGAGCUGGCUGCCAAUCUGUUUAUCCCUGUAUACAGCAGAAUCCCUACAAGAACAGACACAUUACAUUCAAAGGAAAUGCCUUCAAAACAACGCCGAAAUCUCCCUCUGACUGCAGAUAGAGGGAUAAGUAGACUACACUGUCACGCACUGCUGGGCGUUGCCAAGGCAAGGAUAAAAGUUGAAGUGGAGGAACUCUUCAGUUGUCAUAGCGACGGGCUCCUCGGAUGGCCUGUUGGGCUUGGACAGAGCAUCGGACACCUGGUCAAUAGAACCAGAAGUGAGCGAGUGGGCUCUGUAAGCAGCAAAUCCUGGUACUGGAUAGACAUAUACUGCACAUGAAUAUAUAAAUAGAUAAAUAUAUAUAAAUGAAUAUAUAUAUGUAUAUGAAUACAGAUAAAUACAAUAAUCAAUCAAACUCUUGGGAACUGUAUGAAGCUGUAUUACAUGUCUGUCAGACAUACAGUGGACUUCAUCUGAGGUUUAUCUGUUCAUUUCUCUCUUUUUAUAUUGUUUAUUUUAUGUGUGUGUGUCAUAUUGAUAUAGUGUAUGGAUGAAAAUGGUGGCAUUUAUUGUGGUUUACUGACAUCUGACAAAAAACUGAAUAAAUUAGAAGGAAGCACUGAGUUUGGCUUCCAAGCUCAGAGUUGAAGUGACUGACGUCUCGGGUCUCGUCUUGUUUUGACUGGUGAUUGACACAGCGGGUGACAUGAGCAUGACAUGAAAGUCUAUGUUAUCUAUCUAUUUGCAUACUUAUACUCUGUGCCCAUGGCAAGAAGCAGGGAAAUAGGAAACGGCAGUCCGUGGGGACACAGACACAGAUGGCAGAGUUACAGAAACAUUGCAUUACUAUACAAUAAACUGCUCUUAACAUACUGUCAAACGUGAACUCAAACUGUCUACUGCUGCAUAAUGGUUAGGAUUUAUCACACUGUUUGUUUCUUUAUUUCAUUCAUCUUUUCAUUUGUUGCUGCCUUGUUUUUCCAUUUCUUCCUUUGCAUUAAUUUCUGCUUCUUUCUUAUACAUUUUUUCCCAUUCUUUAAUCUCUUUUUACAUCCUCCCAUUUCUCCCAAAGUUUAUAGCGUUUCUCUCUAUUCCUCCUGUCGUACAUAGUCUCAUACCCAUAAUUCACAUUAAAUCUGUCCAGAUUCGUAAUUAAAUUAGACUUCCUAUAGCAUGCAGAUGAGCUUAAAUAGGCAAAGAAUGAUGUCGUCGUAAAGCAGAUCAAUUACAAUCUUGUAGCUGACAGCAACCUUAGCACCCCCCCCCAGUCUUUUUGUUUUACCGUCCCUAACCCCCCGCCCUUCCUCUUAUCUCCUCCACUACAGCCUGCCUGGGGAUAACCUUGCAGAUAGUGAUGAAGCCGCUCUAAUUUGGGCGUGCUUCCUCUCAACCCGACGGUAACGGAGUAUUCACACAGCGCACAUCACACAGCGAGAGCGAAUAUAACAGACAGAAAAGCACAUAAAAGACUCAAAGGCUGUGAAUGCUUAAUGUGAAUAAUAAGAGGUAAUGAUGGAGUUCAUUAAAAUUAUUAGACAAAAAGCAUGUUAACAGGCCACCCGAGUUAAUAAAUUGCCAUGUAUAUCAUUCACUUGUGUGUAAUAUGAUGAUCAUUCAAUGCAUGUAUGAAUAAGAUAUUUUAGAAAAUGUGCUAAACUGGAUCCAAUACAAUUCAAUCCAUUUUUCCUCUUAAUGGGGUCCAGUCACUUAAUGCAUUUUUCUGAUUGGAAAGCAAUCUGAUUGUGUAAAGAGUUAAAACAGCCCAGCAUUUUGGAUUGAAAAUUACCCAGCAUUUUUAGAGUAUGGGCUACAGCCCCCUCAGCUGAAUUCAUAGGCAUAUAUGCAUAAGAGGCAUGUGCCUACUCAUUCAUAA